CCCUUAGACGUUCUGGGCCGCACGCGCGCUACACUGACGAAGGCAACGAGCUUUCCUUUACCGAAAGGUACGGGUAAUCUUUUGAAACUUCGUCGUGCUGGGGAUAGAUCCUUGCAAUUUUUGAUCUUAAACGAGGAAUGCCUAGUAAGCGCAAGUCAUCAACUUGCGUUGAUUACGUCCCUGCCCUUUGUACACACCGCCCGUCGCUACUACCGAUUGAAUGGUUUAGUGAGGCCUUCGGAUCCGCGACUCGUUUGUGGAGAAGUUGGACAAACUCAGUCAUUUAGAGGAAGUAAAAGUCGUAACG
RNAcentral lists this ribosomal RNA (307 nucleotides) under uncultured eukaryote. RNAcentral's name for it is "partial 18S ribosomal RNA". It matches the Rfam family "Eukaryotic small subunit ribosomal RNA", at positions 1470 to 1796 of the family's 1831-position model. The record is from RNAcentral.